AUGAAAACACUAAUCAUACAGCCUAAGAACUCAGUACAGUUGCCCCCACAUUUCCUUUAACCAUUUCAUCUCGUUUUCCUUUGGCUGCUGAGCAAGGGGCACAAAACAGCAAACUUGUUUCAUUCUUUGUACACAAGCCCCUCUGAUUUAAUUUAGGGCUGCUGGGUAUAGCAAAUAAAAAUGUAGGAUGCUUACAGUUCCCGUCAUUGCUCAGUGUGUUAACGACUUGACAUUGUUUCUGCAAGGAUGCAGGUUCAGUCCCUGGCCUUGCUCAAUGUGUUAGGAUCUGGCUUUGCCACAUGCUGUGUCAUAGAUUGCAGAUGUGGCUCAGAUCCGGUGUUGCUGUGACUGGGGCAUAAGCCACAGCUGCCAUUUCGGAUCAACCCCUGGCUCGGAAACUUCCAUAUGCCUAGAUGUAGCCAUAAAAAGAAAAAAAAUGCUGAGAUAAAUUUGCAUUUUGAAAAACAAGCCAUAAUAUUUUAGUAUUAGUAUAUCCCAUGCAAUAUUUGGUACAUACAUAAAUUUUUUAAUUAUUCAAUGUUUACUUGAAAUUCAAAUUUAAUCAGGUUCCCUGAAUUUUACUUGGUAAACUUACUCUAUAUGCCCUACAAUUUACAUUGUAUUUUAGAACUCACCCCAUUAUUAAAGGAAAUAAGAGAGCUGUCAGGGAUAGAAAAACUGGAAAAGCACCAAUUUGUGAAUGAGAAAAUGUACACAAAAGCCCUCUAUAACUUUAUAACGUGUGAUACCAGUAGUUCUCAAUGGGUCAUGACAGAGAAGAGAGAAAAACUGAAAUCAUUGAGAAAUAUCUUCCCUCAGAUUGAAGCCACUACAUUGUAUCAAUAAUAUUAUGUAGUACUUUGCCAUUUUUAUUCUCAUCUUAGAGCCAGUGGUUAUAAACACAAGCUUUGGGGUAAAACUAACCUAAAUUUGAACCACAGCUCUAUUACUUACUUACUGUUUGAUCCUAGACCAGAUACUUAACUUCCCCUAAGCCUUCUCUUUUUCAUAUUUAAAAUUAAAACAAUGAUACCUCCUCAUAUGGCAAAGGAAAGCAUUAAAAAAGAUAUAUCCUCUUUUUAAAGCACUUAGAACAUUACCUGGCACAUGGGAAGACCUUGUUAAUAGAAUGUUAUUAUUCUUAUCAUAUUGUGCAAAUUGUUUUUACCAUGCCCAUUAAUUAAAGAUAAAGCUCCCUGGCAAUCACAGUCAGAAAAGAUCUUCUACCCUGGCUUAUCUAUGAACAGAGUUUGCUGGGGUGCAAGUGAGAAGAGCCAGUCACUUGUAAUCUGCAGAAUAUCUGGCUCUGCAUGAACAUUAAUCUGAAAAGUCAGGAGCCCAGGGAAAAUUUCUCCUUCCUUAUGCUAGCUCUUGUUAGAAGCUUUCCAGGCUGAAUUCCUUCCCCACACAAUGGACAGAAGAAAUGAGUCUAUCUGGUUCCCAAGUCUUUCAUCCCUUAGUAUCCAGGGGAGAUUUGUUUCAGAACUCCUUCAAAUACCAAAAACCAAGGAUGUUCAAAUCUCUUAUCAAAAAUGGCAAAGUGGAGUUCCUGUCAUGGCGCAGUGGUUAAUGAAUCCCGACUAGUAACCAUGAGGUUGCUGGUUCUAUCCCUGGCCUUGCUCAGUGGGUUGGGGAUCCAGCGUUGCCGUGAGCUGUGGUGUGGGUCCCAGACGCAGCUCUGAUCCCGUGUUGCUGCGGCUCCGGCGUAGGCCGUCGGCUAUAGCUUUGAUUUGACCCCUAGCCUGGGAACAUCCAUAUGCCGUGGGAGCGGCCCUCAAAAAGGCAAAAAGACAAAAAAGAAAAGAAAAGAAAAGAAAAAGUUCCUGAAAGCUACAUCUUAAAAACAAAACCAAAAAAAAAAAAGGCAAAGUUCUAAUUGUUAGAGAAAUGCAAAUCAAAACUACAAUAAAACACCACCUCAAACAAGUCAGAAUGGCCAUCAUUAAGAAGUCUACAAAUAGCACAUGCUGGAUAGGUUAUGGAGAAAAGGGAACCCUCCUUCACUUUUGGAGGGAAUGUAAAUUGGUACAAUCACUGUGCAAAACAGUAUGGCAACCUCUCAGAAAACUAAAUAUAGAACUACCAUAUGAUCCAGCAAUACCACUCCUGGGCUUAUAUCCAGACAAAACUAUAAUUCAAUAAGACACAUGCACCCCUAUGUUCAUAACAGCACUAUUCACAAUAGCCAAGACAUAGAAACAACCUAAAUAUCCAUCAACAGAUGAAUUGAUUAAAAAGAUGCGGUACUGGAGUUCCCAUCGUGACUCAGUGGUUAAUGAAUCUGACUAGGAACCAUGAGGUUGUGGGUUCGGUCCCUGCCCUUGCUCAGUGGGUUAAGGAUCCAGCAUUGCCAUGAGCUGUGGUGUAGGUUGCAGACGCGGCUUGGAUCCCGAGUUGCUGUGGCUCUGGCGUAGGCUGGCAGCUACAGCUCCAAUUCAACCCCUAGCCUGGGAACCUCCAUAUGCCGCAGGAGCGGCCCAAGAAAUGGCAAAAAGACAAAGACAAAAAAAAAGAUGUGGUACAUAUAUACAGUGGAGGGAUUAUCAGCCAGGAAAAAGAAAGAAUGCCAUUUGCAGCAACAUGGAUGGAACUAGGGAUUAUCAUACUAAAUGAAGUAAGUCAGAACAAGAAAGAUAAAUACUGUAUGUUUCACACAGUAUUGUAUGGCACAGAUGAACCUAUCUACCAAACAGAAACAGACUCACAGACAUAGAGAACAGACCUGUGGUUCCCAAGGGGAAGGGGAGAGGGAGAGUGAAUGGGAGGGACUGGGAGUUUGGGGUUAGUAGACGCAAACUAUUACAUUUAGAACAGAUAAGCAAUGAGGUUCUACUUAUAGCACAGGGAACCAGCUCCAGUCUCUUGAGAUAGACCAUGAAGAAUGAUAAUACAAGAAAGGGAAUGCAUAUAUAUGUAUGACUAGGUCAUUUUGCUGUAUAGCAUAAAUUGGCACAGCAUUGUAAAUCAACUAUACCUUAAUAAAAAAUUUAAAAAUUUUUUAAAUUACAAAAUUACAAAAUAAAAUAGCAUUGUAUUUGCAUAUAACCUAUGCACAGUCCCCCAGUUCUUUAAAUAAUCUCUUAAUUACCUAUAAUAUCUAAUACUAUAUAAGGACUAUGUAAAUAGUUGUAAAUUUACGUGAAUGUUAUGUAAAUAGUUUCCAGCAUGCAACAAAUUCAAAUUUUGCUUUUGGGGACUUUCCAGGGUUUUUUUAACAAGUAUUUUCAAUCCUCAGUUUGUUUGAAUCCAAGGUAGGUUGAAUUCGUAAAUGUGGAGCACGUGGACAUAGAGGGUCAAAGGUAUAGAGCUUCCUCUAUAAUUCCCUUUUGACUUUGCUCUGUGUGGUCAGAAAUAUGUAUUUUAGCAUGAUAUUCCUGCAUAAUCAAAAAGGGUUCCCAGAAAUCUAGUUCUGUUCUUAGAAGUCAACAUUCCUCACACCUGAUCUGCCUGCCUGGUUUCUUUCUUUCACAUAAAUAUAACAACAGAAUUGGCCAGAGGCCCCCUAGGCAACACAGUGAAGGAGCUGUAUGACUGGGGGGAGGAGUUGUCACAUUGCUCCAGGCAUUCGUUCUGCGUGGGCAAGGCUCUCUAAUCACAUACCCUGAAGGCUUACGUUGCAUUUUCAGGCUUAUUACCUUAUUAGAGGAAAUAGGACAGCUGCUUCCCUGCAAGAAAUGAUGGGAAAGCCCAAUUUGUGAAAUGUGUUCCAUUUCAAAGUCUGUGGCUUACGGGCAACAAGGAGUUAGCAGAAGCAAUUUAUAACACAAUUUCAAACGCACCCUAAGUCUGGAGUUUCUCUUAAGGAUUUCUACCUUUCUAGCAUGCCUGAGGAAGUGAAGGACUGCUUGUAAAAGUCUUUGCUACCUAUAGAGACAGCAGAUGCCAGCACAGUUAGAGUGAUAGAGGCUGCAGGUGCCUUGCUCCCUGGUGCCCUGACACCACAUGGAUAUUUUGCACCUGAUCGGUUUUAAACCUUUUAAUAGACACCUAGAAUUAUACCACUAAAUAACAGGGAAAUAAGUGUAUAGCCUCUUGAGUUUUCUUACAGAAAAAGAAAAUGAUUUCCUAGGACUCAGGAUUCUGUUUUUUCAAAAUGCACUCCCACCUGCCAAACUAAUUAGCGGAGGACAUCCCCAGGUGGACCAGAUGCACAUCCUUUGUCUGCAUUACAUUCCUAAGAUGUUCUUUCAGACAAUGAACUUUCCCCCGAUGCUUAGGCUAAAAAGGAGAUAAAUAACUAGAUGGCAGACAAGUUACAGCACACCUAAAUGGUAUGUGCCUUGUUAUCCUACACAGGUCCCUUGGAAAUGCCAUCUCCUUAGACCUUCCACUAGCCCCAUAUUCAAUAGGGAAAAGGGAACUAACUACUGGUGAUAGUAAUUCUUAUCCUCUCCAUUCUAUCCUCUUGCCUUUUCUUGAUGCAUCCAGCAGCCCUGCCCACAACAUCUAGGGGAAUAAUCCAUCACCAAGUACACACAAUAAUAACAAUAAAUAUAUCAGUUUAUUAAUUAUCCAUUUUUAACUUUUAUUAUCUUCAAAAAUUAAGAUCAUACCUUUUUAGUACAAAAGUGAUUUCAGAAUGCAGUCAGUCCACAAAUGCUGAGUUCCUAGUGUUUUCUGCCCACAGUGCUAGCAAUAGGUGUGACCUAUAAGAAAGAUGAUCAGAAUCCCUACUCAUAGUCCAAAUGUCUGAAUUUUCAAAGUGUGCAGACGUUAAUCAAUUUUUUAUAAUUAAGAUUCAAAAUGCUUAAUAUUUGAGAAUAUUCUGUUUCUUCCUUUUAUGUAAUGUGUCAUGCCUUUUAGAUCAAUACUGAAAUUUAAGAGAACACAUUUCACCAGAAAGGAGUAGUGAUAGAAUAUUUAGAUGGGAUGGCUCACUAGAUAUUCUAUCACGGGACUAUUAGUAGGUAGCCUAGUGACAGAAUAUCCCUGAAAUUGACUAUGAAAACAAUGAGGUGACAUAAGCAACAGCUCUUAACCUCUCUGAUCAGAAAUACAGCUCUGGCUUAAAAAAAGGGAUGGAUGGGUAAAAUAUUCAGAAAGAAGGUGCACAUUUACGACUGCCUUGUUGAAAAUACAGACCUAGGAGAGAGCUGGGAUACACAUUAUGGGGCCAGUCUCAAAACAGAAAUUGUAGGCAUGGCACAAAAUCUAAUAUGUAACAAUAAUCACAUAAUGCCAGGUCUUUGGGUUCUACAUUUGAUGGUACUAAAGAAAAAAAUACUCUUCCAAAGAUGACAUUGUCUAAAAAGUAGAUACUUCAGGGCCUCCUCAUAGCUGACUCCCCUUCAAAGCAAAUGAGGAGUUUACCAGUUCUUAGCACUCCAACUAACUCAGAGCAAGGAGCCUCCAUCCAAGUCUAUCAGUAAUGAACAGGCUGCAUCAGGAUAUCAAAAUGCAAUGAGCUGGGCCACCGUACUUAAACUUUGAGGGAAAAUAUGGAACCUAGACUUCAAAGGUUGACUUCAAUUUUUAUCCACAGUAACAACAUUCAAUCAUUCUUUCAGGAAAUAUUUAAGCUCCUAGCAUGCGCCACACACUGGGUUGGGCACUGGGAAUACGAUACCCAGGAAUACACAAGUGCUCCAGGUCUCUGCCCUGCCUGGUACACAAGGAAUUAUGGCAGAGUUGGGUUGGAGAAGUAUGACAGAUUGUAACUUGGUAGAUCCAACCAGCCAGAAAAACAGUUGUUCAGCGUUUAGCCUGCCUUAAACACUAGCACAGUGGGUAGUGGCUAGAUCCAUCCAUUCGUUGCUCACAUAUUACUGAGUGCCUACAAGGUGCC
This 5785-nucleotide long non-coding RNA is filed under the name Sus scrofa (pig). Its description in RNAcentral is "lncRNA (ENSSSCG00065044147.1)". The record is from RNAcentral. Lineage: Eukaryota; Metazoa; Chordata; Mammalia; Artiodactyla; Suidae.